UAUCUUAGAACAAUCUCUCAUUCAUUAUUUUUAUGAAGGAUUGCUAGGAUUGCUACCCACAAAUAGAAGAAUGUUAGAUACAGCAAGUGGUGGUGCCAUAGUGAACAAGACGCCACGACAAGUGAGGGAGCUGAUAUCUAUCAUGACAGCUACUUCCCAACAUUUCUGUUCUAACCGAGACACCACUUGAAGAGUGAAUGAGGCAAGUAUUUCUUCUCAUGAAUCUCAAAUUUCACAAUUAACUACUUUGGUGUAAAAUAUGGUUGCAGG
RNAcentral lists this long non-coding RNA (270 nucleotides) under Carica papaya (papaya). RNAcentral's name for it is "long non-coding RNA (CPAP_LNC003370)". Lineage: Eukaryota; Viridiplantae; Streptophyta; Magnoliopsida; Brassicales; Caricaceae. The record is from RNAcentral.